This 936-nucleotide long non-coding RNA is filed under the name Mytilus galloprovincialis (Mediterranean mussel). Lineage: Eukaryota; Metazoa; Mollusca; Bivalvia; Mytilida; Mytilidae. The record is from RNAcentral.
CUCCUUUUACUACUAUUAUUAAGACAAAAAACAUGGCAAUUUAGCAAACUUAUACAGGAUGAAAAAGUUUAAAUUUUAAAUUGAAAGCAACUAUGUAGACAGAAUUUUCAAUGUUAUAGAUAUUUCCUUAAGUGUUGUAUUCUUCCUUACAUCAUUGAUCUGUUCUUUACUAUAAUAUAUAUGUAGGACUUUAAAGUGCAAUGGGGACGCUAAAGUACGAUGGUCAGGCUAAAGUGCGAUGGUCUAUGCUAAAGUGUGAUGCUUCUGUACGCUAAAGUCCGAUGGUCCGCGAAAGUAUAGACGUAAGAAACGUAGUUUGAUUAUGACGUGAACAGUCGUUCAUACAAACCAAAAAUGAACAUGCCGGAAGAUAGACUAGGAAAAUUUUAUUAAAAAUUUUUACACCAAAUGUCCAUGAACUAAUUGAUUAAAACUUUAUCGUUCUUUGUUGGCUGAAGCACAUUUUUUAUUUUUUUUUCGAAUGUUGGAAGAAGGACAUGUAUCCUACAGUCGACCAUUUUACUAUAUAAAUACAAAACAGUAUACGCAUACUUAUCCUGCUUCUAUUUGAAGCAAACGGAUACAUUUGAAUCAUUGUUUAUGUGGCAAUUUACCUUGAGAUUCCUGUUAAAAAAUGCCGUCGAUUUUAAUAAAAAGUAACGUCGGUAAAAUAGAGAUACAUGUUUUCAUGUGUGAAUUAUAAAUUGUCUGCUAAAACAUUCGUUUGUUCUGUACAUUGUAGAAAAAUAAAACAUGUAUUUGUACUCGCUACGAAAAAGGAGAAAGCUCGGCGAAUAUUGCCUUUCUCUCGCAUUUAGAUUAAAGCCUAUACAAAUAAAUGUUGCAUAUUCCAACAAUGAACGAAUUUCGUAUUUUUAAUUUCCAAUGACAAAUGUAAGGGAGGUUGUAACAUUAGUGUGAACGACAAUCUACACC